RNAcentral lists this ribosomal RNA (253 nucleotides) under uncultured bacterium. RNAcentral's name for it is "partial 16S ribosomal RNA". It matches the Rfam family "Bacterial small subunit ribosomal RNA", at positions 524 to 776 of the family's 1533-position model. The record is from RNAcentral.
UACAGAGGGUGCAAGCGUUGUUCGGAAUUACUGGGCGUAAAGCGUGCGUAGACGGUUAUUUAAGUCAGGUGUGAAGGCCCCGGGCUCAACCUGGGAAUUGCAUUUGAGACUGAAUAGCUAGGGUGCGGAAGAGGGAAGCGGAAUUUCCGGUGUAGCGGUGAAAUGCGUAGAUAUCGGAAGGAACACCAGUGGCGAAAGCGGCUUCCUGGUCCAGCACCGACGUUCAGGCACGAAAGCGUGGGGAGCAAACAGG